This is a long non-coding RNA of Macaca mulatta (Rhesus monkey), 1786 nucleotides long. RefSeq lists it as uncharacterized. NCBI's taxonomy places the organism in Eukaryota, Metazoa, Chordata, Mammalia, Primates, Cercopithecidae. The record is from RefSeq and is a predicted model, not a curated record.
UCUUUGUGAAUGAUUCUUUUUCUAUUCUCAGGCAGUUUUUUUUUUUUCCUUUUCUUUUAGAAGGAAUCUUGCUCUGUUGCCCAGGCUAGAGUGCACGAUCUUGGCUGACUGCAACCUCCCCCUCCCGGGUUCAAGCGAUUCUCCUGCCUCAGCCUCCUGAGUAGCUGGGACUACAGGUGCCUGUCACCAUGCCCGGCUAAUUUUUGUAUUUUUAGUAGAGAUGGGGUUUCACCGUGUUGGCCAGGAUGGUCUCGAUCUCCUGACCUUGUGAUCCACCCACCUCAGCCUCCCAAAGUGCUGGGAUUACAGGUAUGAGCCACUGCGCUUGGCCUCUCAGGCAGGUUUCUUACCUGCAUACUCUGAUCACUACUCUGUUAAAUAGUCAAGGAGGAUAAGUAUUCUCUUCAGAUUUCCAGAACUCUGUCUCUGAACAGCCUUCUCCUCCUCAAUAUUGUGCCCUAUGAAUUCUAGCCACGUUGACCUUCCCAGACUUACAGUUCUGUCUUCUCAACUCAGGAAGAUCUCUGAGCUCCAUCUGCAUUCUUCCUUCCUGUGCUAUGGCCUGGAAACUUUUAUAAGGUAAUGAGGAGGUCAAUUGUGGGGCUAGCCUCCUUUGUUUCUCAUCUCUUGAGGAUCACUGCCCGUUGUUGCUUGAUUCCAGCGAUUGAUUCCCUUUGUUGCUUGAGGGCCAUAGUUUCAUAUAUUUUGUCCAGCAUUUUUGUUGUUUUAGGUCAGAAGGUAAUUUUGGUCUCUGUUACUCCAUCUUGGCCAGAAGUGUAAGUCACUCACCUAUGCAUUUAUAUGUCAAAAUACUGCACAUAUAAUUUUAGUUUAAGCUACUUUAAAAAAAUCUCCUUCAUUUUCCAUUUAGCAUUCCAUUUAGGGUAUUACAUUGAUUUUUUGGAAAUUCUGUUAUUGGCAGUUUCUACUGCUUAUCAAUUCCAUUUAAAGACAGUGCAUAGGAUAUUCUAAAAUAGCUGUUAAACAAAGAGAAAAUUGGCCCUGAUAGGGUGAGAAUCACAGCUCUAAUACCUAGAGUGACCUUAUAAUGUAUUGUCCAAAGGAGAUACUUUUGACAGUGAAAGAAGGUGUUGUUAGUAAUUAUAUCAGGACCAUGGCCUACACCAGGACUAUCCCAGGCAGCCUAGGACAUAUUUGUACCCCAUCUCUAUUUUAUGCCUUUACACAAUUCUUUACUUAGUUCUAAAGCCUUUAUUGAGCCUGCUUUCUUUGUCCAGCUGAGUGCCACAUGUUCACAUCACAAAGAUCAAUAAGGCAAACUCUGAAAGAUGGACAGAGAUAGAGGAGACGGUCCUUUAUAACACAAUGUGAUCUGUGCUCCAAUAGAGAUGGAAGAGUGUUCUGAUUGGCUGGAAAACAACAUACAUGGGAAGCUGUAUGGAAAUGAGUGGAGAAAGUUUUGGAGGCUAGAAGUUCAAAACAAGGUGUUGGCAGCACCAUGCUCUCUCUGAAGAUGCUAGGAAGAAUCUGUUACACACCUUUCCAUUCGCUUCUGGGGUUUCCUGCAAGCCCUCACAUUCCUUGGCUUGUAGAUGCAUCAGCCCAGUUUCUGCCCCCAUCAUCCUGUGGCCUCCUCUCUGUGUGUGCACCUGCAUUCCCUCUCCUCUUCUUCUAAGGACACCAGUCAUAGUAGAUUAAAGGUUCACUCCUAACUAAUUACAUCUGUAACAACCCUAUUUCCAAAUAAAGUCACAUUCUAAGAUUCCUAGGAAGAACAUGAAUUUUUGGGGGGGUGUGAAUACUGUUCAACCUGGGACAUGGAGUA